CCUACGGGGGGCAGCAGUGGGGAAUAUUGCACAAUGGGGGAAACCCUGAUGCAGCGACGCCGCGUGAGUGAAGAAGUAAUUCGUUAUGUAAAGCUCUAUCAGCAGGGAAGAAAAUGACGGUACCUGAGUAAGAAGCCCCGGCUAACUACGUGCCAACAGCCGCGGUAAUACGUAGGGGGCAAGCGUUAUCCGGAUUUACUGGGUGUAAAGGGAGCGUAGACGGCAGUGCAAGUCUGGAGUGAAAGGCGGGGGCUCAACCCCCGGACUGCGCUGGAAACUGGACGGCUGGAGUGCAGGAGAGGUAAGUGGAAUUCCUGGUGUAGCGGUGAAAUGCGUAGAUAUUAGGAGGAACACCAGUGGCGAAGGCGGCUUACUGGACUGUAACUGACGUUGAGGCUCGAAAGCGUGGGGAGCGAACAGGAUUAGAUACCCCUGUAGUC
This 440-nucleotide ribosomal RNA is filed under the name uncultured bacterium. RNAcentral's name for it is "partial 16S ribosomal RNA". It matches the Rfam family "Bacterial small subunit ribosomal RNA", at positions 338 to 795 of the family's 1533-position model. The record is from RNAcentral.